This 444-nucleotide ribosomal RNA is filed under the name Oribacterium sinus. RNAcentral's name for it is "bacterial SSU rRNA". It matches the Rfam family "Bacterial small subunit ribosomal RNA", at positions 28 to 456 of the family's 1533-position model. The record is from RNAcentral. Lineage: Bacteria; Bacillati; Bacillota; Clostridia; Lachnospirales; Lachnospiraceae.
GAUGAACGCUGGCGGCGUGCCUAACACAUGCAAGUCGAACGAGAUGCGUAUUGGAAAGCUUCGGCCGGAAGAUACGUUAUCUAGUGGCGGACGGGUGAGUAACACGUGGGUAACCUGCCUUAUGGAGGGGGAUAACAGAGAGAAAUCACUGCUAAUACCGCAUAAGCACACAGUACCGCAUGGUACAGGGUGAAAAGAUUUAUCACCAUAAGAUGGACCCGCGUCUGAUUAGCCAGUUGGCAGGGUAAAAGCCUACCAAAGCAACGAUCAGUAGCCGAUCUGAGAGGAUGACCGGCCACAUUGGGACUGAGACACGGCCCAAACUCCUACGGGAGGCAGCAGUGGGGAAUAUUGCACAAUGGGGGAAACCCUGAUGCAGCGACGCCGCGUGAGUGAAGAAGUAUUUCGGUAUGUAAAGCUCUAUCAGCAGGGAAGAUAAUGACA